UAGGGAAUCUUCCACAAUGGACGCAAGUCUGAUGGAGCAACGCCGCGUGAGUGAAGAAGGUUUUCGGAUCGUAAAGCUCUGUUGUUGGUGAAGAAGGAUAGAGGCAGUAACUGGUCUUUAUUUGACGGUAAUCAACCAGAAAGUCACGGCUAACUACGUGCCAGCAGCCGCGGUAAUACGUAGGUGGCAAGCGUUGUCCGGAUUUAUUGGGCGUAAAGCGAGCGCAGGCGGAGUGAUAAGUCUGAUGUGAAAGCCCACGGCUCAACCGUGGAACGGCAUCGGAAACUGUCAUUCUUGAGUGCAGAAGAGGAGAGUGGAAUUCCAUGUGUAGCGGUGGAAUGCGUAGAUAUAUGGAAGAACACCAGUGGCGAAGGCGGCUCUCUGGUCUGCAACUGACGCUGAGGCUCGAAAGCAUGGGUAGCGAACAGG
RNAcentral lists this ribosomal RNA (429 nucleotides) under bacterium. RNAcentral describes it as "partial 16S ribosomal RNA". It matches the Rfam family "Bacterial small subunit ribosomal RNA", at positions 355 to 776 of the family's 1533-position model. The record is from RNAcentral.